This 1236-nucleotide ribosomal RNA is filed under the name metagenome. Its description in RNAcentral is "bacterial LSU rRNA". It matches the Rfam family "Bacterial large subunit ribosomal RNA", at positions 1564 to 2808 of the family's 2925-position model. The record is from RNAcentral.
UGAAUACGAGAUGCUACGGCGUCAAAGCAGUCUAUGUCAUACUUCCAAGAAAAGCUUGCACUGUCAUAAACAAAUAAUGCCUGUACCAUAACCGACACAGGUGGGUAGGUAGAGUAUACUAAGGGGCGCGAGAUAACUCUCUCUAAGGAACUCGGCAAAAUGACUCCGUAACUUCGGGAGAAGGAGUGCCUUAUUUUAUAAGGUUGCAAUAACAAGAUCCAAGCAACUGUUUACCAAAAACACAGGUCUCCGCUAAGUCGUAAGACGAUGUAUGGGGGCUGACGCCUGCCCAGUGCCAGAAGGUUAAAGAAGUUGGUUAGCAUCCGCGAAGCUGAUAACUGAAGCCCUGGUGAACGGCGGCCGUAACUAUAACGGUCCUAAGGUAGCGAAAUUCCUUGACGGGUAAGUUCCGACCCGCACGAAAGGCGUAAUGAUUUGGAUACUGUCUCAGAGAGGGGCUCGGUGAAAUAGACUUGUCUGUGAAGAUGCGGACUACCUGCACCAGGACAGAAAGACCCUAUGAAGCUUUACUGUAACUUGAAAUUGAAAUUGGACUUUACUUGCGCAGUAUAGGUGGGAGGCGUUGAGAACAUUCUUGCGGGAAUGUUGGAGCCAUCAGUGAGAUACCACUCUUGUAAUGUUAGAUUUCUAACUUUGUAUCAUUAUCUGGUCAAAGGACAGUUUCAGGCGGGCAGUUUGACUGGGGCGGUCGCCUCCCAAACGGUAACGGAGGCGCACAAAGGUUUCCUCUGAACGGGUAGAAAUCGUAUCUAGAGUGUAAAGGCAUAAGGAAGCUUGACUGUGAGACCUACAAGUCGAGCAGGGACGAAAGUCGGUCUUAGUGAUCUGACGGUGCUGAGUGGAAAGGCCGUCACUCAACGGAUAAAAGUUACUCUAAGGAUAACAGGCUGAUCUCCCCCAAGAGUUCACAUCGACGGGGAGGUUUGGCACCUCGAUGUCGGCUCAUCGCAUCCUGGGGCGGUAGUACGUCCCAAGGGUUGGGCUGUUCGCCCAUGAAAGCGGUACGCGAGCUGGGUUCAGAACGUCGUGAGACAGUUCGGUCCAUAUCCGGUGUAGGCGUUAGAAUAUUGAGAGGAGCCUUCUUUAGUACGAGAGGACCGAGAAGGACAUACCUCUGGUGUACCAGUUAUCGUGCCAACGGUAAACGCUGGGUAGCUAUGUAUGGAGUGGAUAACCGCUGAAAGCAUCUAAGUGGGAAGCCCACCUCAAGAUAAG